Non-coding RNA from Planktothricoides sp. SR001, 73 nucleotides. NCBI's taxonomy places the organism in Bacteria, Bacillati, Cyanobacteriota, Cyanophyceae, Oscillatoriales, Oscillatoriaceae. The record is from Rfam.
UUGAGCCGUGUGAUGCGAAGAGUGUCACGCACGGUUCUUAGGGGAGGGGAGGAAGGUGACUUCCGAACCUUAC